AUGCAUGUCAUAGAUUGGACUAUGAGAGGGCAAGAGCGGUGUUGGUAUGCCAACAACGAGAACAAGGAAGAGGUGGAGAUGUCACAAUUCAAGAAGUUGAGCCAAUCAAAUGAAGGUUAUGAUGUGGUAAAUGAGCUCUUCUCUUGGCAAUCCAUUCGUGGACGUGGGCCAUUAGGUUUAAAGUUAACGAAAACACCUGCUCUUUUGGAGCUUAUACAAAAGAAGCUCACAUUAACCUCCAAAGGAAAAGGAAAGCAAACAACAUGUGACGUACAAACAAUAUCUACUGCAAUACAAGGAAGGAAGCCCUGUUCACAAAAGUUGCAGGCUUCCAAUUUUCAAGCUUCCUCUCUUAGAAUUGGGGACUGGGAGUGGAAAUCAAUAUAUGAAGGAGAUAUUGUUGCAAAAUUUUAUAUUUCCAAGAAUAAAUUGGCAUGGGAAAUACUCCAUGAAGGUCUGAAGAGCAAGAUAGAGAUAAAAUGUUCAGACAUAUGUGCCUUGAGAAUAACUUGUCCCAAAGAUUUACCCGGGAUGCUGGAUAUUGUGGUGUCCGCGGUGCCACAAUUUUUCAUAGAAACCAAUCCACAGCCACGCAGGAGCACCAGGUGGCUUGCAACUACGGAUUUUACUGGUGGACAAGCAAGUACGCACAGUAGGCAUGUUCUACAGUGUGGCCCAGGGAUAAUGGACAAGCACAUUGAGAAUCUCCUCCACAAAGACCAACGUCUAUAUUUAUUAAGUCAGAGCACCAAAAAUUCAUAUCGUAGCAAUUAUGACAACCUGUUUGAGACUGGACAAACUCGGCAGUCAUUGCCACUUCAACCGAUGCCAACUGGAACAAUGACAUUAGGGCUAAAUGAUUCUGGAGCCCUGCAAGGUGUACACUUUCAAAGCUCAGGGCAGCGAGCUCCACUGAAGGAGGACAUGCUUAACUGGAAAUACUUUUUGGGCACGCCUCUCGGGUCACAACCUACCUCCAUGUCCAACUCUAAUGCCGGUAUCAUGUAUAGUAACUUUGGAAACCGCUUCGACAAUCACAUCAGUUCAUGGAACUUAUCUCCCAGUGCUGAUUACUCAUCAUUGCGUGAGAUGUAUGACUUGAAUGGCAGCCAUACCUUGUUGCCGAGUAACAGCAACUUAUCAUCGGAGACAAUGACACUUGAGCAGCUACGAGAAAACUUAUUGAGCGACAACGAGAUCGUGAAUGUGGUGGACGAAGAGGAUCUCAUGAGCAUGGUGAACUCCCUUUCCUGUUUGAUUGGGAAGAGUUCCCACUCCCAGGCAAACAAUAAUCUGGUCGCUCCUCCUCCUCUAGAUCUUGAACCAACCCAAGUCAUCAACGUUCCUCCUCCUGGAAGCAGCCCUCCAUGGACGGAGUGGCCAGGCUCACCAUGA
This 1395-nucleotide ribosomal RNA is filed under the name Triticum aestivum (bread wheat). Its description in RNAcentral is "partial small subunit ribosomal RNA". The record is from RNAcentral. Lineage: Eukaryota; Viridiplantae; Streptophyta; Magnoliopsida; Poales; Poaceae.